RNAcentral lists this ribosomal RNA (439 nucleotides) under uncultured bacterium. RNAcentral's name for it is "partial 16S ribosomal RNA". It matches the Rfam family "Bacterial small subunit ribosomal RNA", at positions 339 to 795 of the family's 1533-position model. The record is from RNAcentral.
CUACGGGGUGCAGCAGUGAGGAAUAUUGCACAAUGGGGGGAAAGGUGAGACAGCAACGCCGCGUGGAGGAGGACGCAUUCCGGUGUGUAAACUCCUUUUAUGGGGCGAGAAAAUGACGGUAGCAUAUGAAUAAGCACCGGCUAACUCCGUGCCAGCAGCCGCGGUAAUACGGAGGGUGCAAGCGUUACUCGGAAUCACUGGGCGUAAAGGACGCGUAGGCGGGUUGGAAAGUCAGGUGUGAAAUCCUACAGCUUAACUGUAGAACUGCACUUGAAACUUCUAAUCUAGAGUAUGGGAGGGGGAGAUGGAAUUAGUGGUGUAGGGGUAAAAUCCGUAGAUAUCACUAGGAAUACCUAAAGCGAAGGCGAUCUCCUGGAACAUUACUGACGCUAAGGCGUGAAAGCGUGGGGAGCAAACAGGAUUAGAUACCCCAGUAGUC